RNAcentral lists this ribosomal RNA (460 nucleotides) under uncultured bacterium. Its description in RNAcentral is "partial 16S ribosomal RNA". It matches the Rfam family "Bacterial small subunit ribosomal RNA", at positions 338 to 795 of the family's 1533-position model. The record is from RNAcentral.
CCUACGGGGGGCAGCAGUGAGGAAUAUUGGUCAAUGGACGAGAGUCUGAACCAGCCAAGUAGCGUGAAGGAUGACUGCCCUAUGGGUUGUAAACUUCUUUUAUAUGGGAAUAAAAUGUUCCACGUGUGGGAUUUUGUAUGUACCAUAUGAAUAAGGAUCGGCUAACUCCGUGCCAGCAGCCGCGGUAAUACGGAGGAUCCGAGCGUUAUCCGGAUUUAUUGGGUUUAAAGGGAGCGUAGGGGGAUUGUUAAGUCAGUUGUGAAAGUUUGGGGCUCAACCGUAAAAUUGCAGUUGAAACUGGCAGUCUUGAGUACAGUAGAGGUGUGCGGAAUGCGUGGUGUAGCGGUGAAAUGCUUAGAUAUCACGAAGAACUCCGAUUGCGAAGGCAGUUCACUGGACUGCAACUGACACUGAGGCUCGAAAGUGUGGGUAUCAAACAGGAUUAGAUACCCCAGUAGUC